This 211-nucleotide ribosomal RNA is filed under the name uncultured bacterium. RNAcentral describes it as "partial 16S ribosomal RNA". It matches the Rfam family "Bacterial small subunit ribosomal RNA", at positions 312 to 525 of the family's 1533-position model. The record is from RNAcentral.
CCGCCGCGCGCGGCGGGCCUACGGGAGGCAGCAGUGGGGAAUAUGCACAAUGGGCGCAAGCCUGAUGCAGCCAUGCCGCGUGUAUGAAGAAGGCCUUCGGGUUGUAAAGUACUUUCAGCGGGGAGGAAGGUGUUGAGGUUAAUAACCUCAGCAAUUGACGUUACCCGCAGAAGAAGCACCGGCUAACUCCGUGCCAGCAGCCGCGGUAAUA